This 836-nucleotide ribosomal RNA is filed under the name Haptophyta environmental samples. Its description in RNAcentral is "bacterial SSU rRNA". It matches the Rfam family "Bacterial small subunit ribosomal RNA", at positions 481 to 1325 of the family's 1533-position model. Lineage: Eukaryota; Haptophyta. The record is from RNAcentral.
GAGGAAUAAGCAUCGGCUAACUCCGUGCCAGCAGCCGCGGUAAUACGGGGGAUGCAAGCGUUAUCCGGAAUCAUUGGGCGUAAAGCGCCUGUAGGUUGUUUAAUAAGUCUGUUGUUAAAGACUAGGGCUCAACCCUAGGAAAGCAAUGGAAACUACUAGACUAGAGUAUGGCAGGGGCAGAGGGAAUUUCUAGUGUAGCGGUGAAAUGCGUAGAUAUUAGAAAGAACACCGGUGGCGAAAGCGCUCUGCUGGACCAUUACUGACACUCAGAGGCGAAAGCUAGGGUAGCAAAAGGGAUUAGAUACCCCUGUAGUCCUAGCCGUAAACGAUGGAUACUAGAUGUUGUGCAUAUCGUACAGUAUCGAAGCUAACGCGUUAAGUAUCCCGCCUGGGGAGUACGCUCGCAAGGGUGAAACUCAAAGGAAUUGACGGGGGCCCGCACAAGCGGUGGAGCAUGUGGUUUAAUUCGAUGCAACGCGAAGAACCUUACCAGGGCUUGACAUACUACAAAUUCUUUAGAGAUAAAGAAGUGCCUUCGGGAAUGUAGAUACAGGUGGUGCAUGGCUGUCGUCAGCUCGUGUCGUGAGAUGUUGGGUUAAGUCCCGCAACGAGCGCAACCCUUAUUUUUAGUUACUAAUUCGUUAGGUUCUCUAGAAAGACUGCCGGUGACAAACCGGAGGAAGGUGAGGAUGACGUCAAGUCAGCAUGCCCCUUAUGCCCUGGGCUACACACGUGCUACAAUGGUUAAGACAAAGAGUCGCGAGCUCGCGAGAGUCAGCUAAUCUCAUAAACUUAGCCUAAGUUCAGAUUGUAGGCUGCAACUCGCCUGCAUGAAG